This 484-nucleotide ribosomal RNA is filed under the name uncultured bacterium. RNAcentral describes it as "partial 16S ribosomal RNA". It matches the Rfam family "Bacterial small subunit ribosomal RNA", at positions 29 to 507 of the family's 1533-position model. The record is from RNAcentral.
AGUGAACGCUGGCGGCAGGCCUAACACAUGCAAGUCGAGCGGCAGCGCGGGGGCAACCCUGGCGGCGAGCGGCGGACGGGUGAGGAAUUCGUCGGAAUCUGCCUUUUUGUGGGGGAUAACGUAGGGAAACUUACGCUAAUACCGCAUACGUCCUACGGGAGAAAGUGGGGGACCGCAAGGCCUCACGCAGAAAGAUGAGCCGACGACCGAUUAGCUAGUUGGUGGGGUAAAGGCCCACCAAGGCGACGAUCGGUAGCUGGUCUGAGAGGAUGAUCAGCCACCCUGGGACUGAGACACGGCCCAGACUCCUACGGGAGGCAGCAGUGGGGAAUAUUGGACAAUGGGCGCAAGCCUGAUCCAGCCAUGCCGCGUGUGUGAAGAAGGCCUUCGGGUUGUAAAGCACUUUUGUCCGGAAAGAAAUCCCUGGAGCUAAUACCUUCGGGGGAUGACGGUACCGGAAGAAUAAGCACCGGCUAACCUCGUG